GUCGAGGAUCUUUGGCAAUGGGCGCAAGCCUGACCAAGCGACGCCGCGUGUGCGAUGAAGGCCUUCGGGUUGUAAAGCACUGUCGAGGGGGAGUAAGACCCGAAAGGGUUUGAACUAUCCCUGGAGGAAGCACGGGCUAAGUUCGUGCCAGCAGCCGCGGUAAGACGAACCGUGCAAACGUUGUUCGGAAUCACUGGGCUUAAAGGGCGCGUAGGCGGGUUCGUAAGUCUGUGGUGAAAGCCCCCAGCUUAACUGGGGAAGUGCCAUGGAUACUGCGAGUCUUGAGGAGGGUAGGGGCAUCUGGAACACUGGGUGGAGCGGUGAAAUGCGUUGAUAUCCAGUGGAACUCCGGUGGCGAAGGCGAGGUGCUGGACCCUUUCUGACGCUGAGGCGCGAAAGCCAGGGGAGCAAACGGGAUUAGAUACCCUAGUAGUCC
This 436-nucleotide ribosomal RNA is filed under the name uncultured bacterium. RNAcentral describes it as "bacterial SSU rRNA". It matches the Rfam family "Bacterial small subunit ribosomal RNA", at positions 354 to 796 of the family's 1533-position model. The record is from RNAcentral.